RNAcentral lists this ribosomal RNA (440 nucleotides) under uncultured bacterium. Its description in RNAcentral is "partial 16S ribosomal RNA". It matches the Rfam family "Bacterial small subunit ribosomal RNA", at positions 338 to 795 of the family's 1533-position model. The record is from RNAcentral.
CCUACGGGUGGCAGCAGUGGGGAAUAUUGCACAAUGGGGGAAACCCUGAUGCAGCGACGCCGCGUGAGUGAAGAAGUAUCUCGGUGCGUAAAGCUCUAUCAGCAGGGAAGAAAAUGACGGUACCUGACUACGAAGCCCCGGCUAAAUACGUGCCCACAGCCGCGGUAAUACGUAGGGGGCAAGCGUUAUCCGGAUUUACUGGGUGUAAAGGGAGCGUAGACGGGAGUAUAAGUCUGGAGUGAAAUCCCGGGGCUUAACCCCGGAACUGCUGUGGAAACUGUGCGGCUAGAGUGCAGGAGGGGUAAGCGGAAUGCCUAGUGUAGCGGGGAAAUGCGUAGAUAUUAGGAAGAACACCGGUUGCGAAGGCAGCUUACUGGUCUGUAACUGACGUUGAGGCUCGAAAGCGUGGGUAGCAAACAGGAUUAGAUACCCGAGUAGUC